Molecule: ribosomal RNA, 484 nt
Filed under: uncultured bacterium
Lineage: Bacteria
Description: partial 16S ribosomal RNA
Rfam family: Bacterial small subunit ribosomal RNA
Source: RNAcentral
GAUGAACGCUGGCGGCGUGCUUAACACAUGCAAGUCGAACGAAGCAUUUAGGACAGAUUACUUCGGUUUGAAGUUCUUUAUGACUGAGUGGCGGACGGGUGAGUAACGCGUGGGUAACCUGCCUUGUACUGGGGGAUAGCAGCUGGAAACGGCUGGUAAUACCGCAUAAGCGCACAAUGUUGCAUGACAUGGUGUGAAAAACUCCGGUGGUAUAAGAUGGACCCGCGUCUGAUUAGCUAGUUGGUGAGAUAACAGCCCACCAAGGCGACGAUCAGUAGCCGGCGUGGGAGGGGGACCGGACAGAUUGGGAGUGAGAGACGGCCCGGACGACGAAGGGAGGCAGCAGUGGGGAAGAUUGAACAAUGAGCGGAAGGCUGAUGCAGCAACGCCGCGUGGGGGAUGAAGGCAUUCGGGUUGUAAACAGAUUUCGCCUGUGACGAAGCGUGAGUGACGGUAAUGGGUAAAGAAGAACCGGCUAACUACG